This 160-nucleotide ribosomal RNA is filed under the name Eucalyptus microcorys (tallowwood). RNAcentral's name for it is "5.8S ribosomal RNA". It matches the Rfam family "5.8S ribosomal RNA". Rfam says of the family: 5.8S ribosomal RNA (5.8S rRNA) is a component of the large subunit of the eukaryotic ribosome. It is transcribed by RNA polymerase I as part of the 45S precursor that also contains 18S and 28S rRNA. RNAcentral also lists the same sequence under 6 other names. Lineage: Eukaryota; Viridiplantae; Streptophyta; Magnoliopsida; Myrtales; Myrtaceae. The record is from RNAcentral.
UAACGACUCUCGGCAACGGAUAUCUCGGCUCUCGCAUCGAUGAAGAACGUAGCGAACUGCGAUACUUGGUGUGAAUUGCAGAAUCCCGUGAACCAUCGAGUCUUUGAACGCAAGUUGCGCCCGAAACCUUCGGGUCGAGGGCACGUUUGCCUGGGUGUCA